Molecule: long non-coding RNA, 4817 nt
Organism: Lutzomyia longipalpis
Lineage: Eukaryota; Metazoa; Arthropoda; Insecta; Diptera; Psychodidae
Exons: 2
Source: RefSeq, a predicted model, not a curated record
GAAGUGAGGAAAAGCUGUUUAAUGCGAUUAACGUAGGAUAAUUGACACCAAAACACCAUUAAGGGGUGCCAAUGCACUUCCCGGAAAAUAUGUGUCCGGGUGUUGUGUGGGUGCACAGCCCUCCCAGGAAGUAUGGUGUUUGUCCACCGGAUGGUAUUUGCGGGGAUGGGCGGAAGUAGUGACGGGGGAUGGGAUGAGCAGUGGAUGUGUGAGUGUGUGUUUGGUGCAGAAAGCAGAGGCCAGAAAAUUCCGAUGUUUGUCGUGUCCACUGCCUGGCACCACUGUUACACCAUAAUUCAUCGCCUUGAAAGUGUCACACAGGAGCUCCCCCAGGGGGCCACAGAGCAGGAAUUUCCCAUAGAUGCAGCAUCCUUGAUCAGAGAUUCGAAUUCGAGAUGCUAUUCCAAUUGGAAUUUUUUUGGGGGUUUCAAAAAGAAGAAGAAGAAGAAGAUGGUUCCCAGCAAGAAGUUACCUCGUUGGCAAAAGUUACACACAAACUCUAUUCCUCUUAUGCCCUGGAAGUGCGAAGAGAUCCGUGGCAGGGUAGUGAGUGUGUAAGAAUGAGAGAGAGAGGAGGCAAAAAGAGUGUGGAAUGCAGAACUCGAAGCUGUUGACCUCCUCAGAAAUGUGUGGUGUUGUAGUAAGAAAGCCCAAUAGGAUGGUGGAGACAGACAAGACUGUGUGUGCUGUAAAAGUGCCCCCAAAAAGACGGAUGGGUCCCCAUCCACAAAUACACACAUUCCGGAUCCCAAAAUCAAUUUUCUGCAUUUUAUUGGAGAAUUCCUUGGCCACGAAUCUCUUCGCAAUAAAAUCCCUGCAGCCAAGUGAUGGCCAAAAAUGCCCCCCAUCUGCUCAGACGUGUAUCGCGCGGGGGAAUGUCUCAUAGAACCGAGAGUGGACGAGGGAUGGCAUAAAAAUAGACACAUAGGAGACAUACAGAGCCACUUCGAAGGAAAUUAAUAGUCUGGCUGGUGUGAGGAAUGAGCUCUCUCUCUUGUUGCGCGCGAAGAAGAAAAAUUCGAGAUAUCUAAUCAGCUUUUUGUCCCGCAAAGUGACGAAAGUAUUUCAAAGUCGAACCCAGGCUUUAUGGAUGGAUCCGUCGUACAACAUUCCUCUUCUAUUCGCACCUCUACUAGGCUAGAGAGACAAGCCUAAAGAUUUUAUAUAUUCACUUACAUACAUUGAGAAGUGAAUUGGAAAUUUUCCAACAGCUCUUCUCCAAUACUGCACUCAAAUUCUCUCAAUUUGGGACGACACUACUUCUUUUUUUAUUUUAUUUUUUUUUGUACAAAAUACCCACAAAUCACUCGCGAAUAGCAAGGAAAAUUCCUCCCAAUGGGUUCAUGACCUCUGCGCUCAUCUCAAAUGUUCCCCUUCUGCAAGAAAAAAACGAAGAAAAAUUCAUGAAAAACUUUCUCACAGACUCGUCAAAAAAUCAUGUGCAAACAACUGCCCUACAUCCCAACCAUAUGGGCGCGAGAGAUCCCAUUCAGAGCUCCAGGGCUUGAUAACUCCACCACACAAGAUUUGGCGGAGGAAUUUUAAGUAUAUUCCCCUUGAGCGAUGAAGACGGAAAAAUUAAAGUUUUGUACUUCACAUAUUUUUUUUCGUGGAGGUUUUAUGGAUUUUCUGAUAAGAAAUCUCGGACGUAAGAGUUCCACAUUUUUUUAAAAAAGUUUUCUCAUUCAUAUACUCUGCCCAAAGUCAAAUUUCUCGACUCUUUGUGCUGAGAAUGUUGAUUUUUUAUUAAGUGGAUUAAUUGAGAUGUUUUUUUUUUGAAAGCUCUAUUCGAUUAAUACGUUGUAAAAUAUACUAAAGAAAAACUUUUAAAUAAAUUAUUAAACUCAUUUACAGUAUUUUAUUAAUUCUUAAUCUUUGAUUUGCGGAGCUUCUUAGUUUUCUAUUCAAUUUUGAAGUUACUAAAACUUUAAAGUAUGAUAUAAAAAUAUCAAAACAUCGCUGGAAACAUUUCGUUCGUUUCUCAUUCUAUUCUGGAUGUGUUUUCUACAUCAUUUUCUUCAAAAACAAUUAACUGAAUUACAGUUUAAAUAAUUAUUAAUUGAAAAAGGGAUAAGACCAGAAUACUUAUUCAUUGAUUUUUCAAUUUUUUAAAUGACUUUAAAAUACAUCAUUGCGUCAUUCCGUCAUUUGUAAUACUCAUAUUACAAUAUUCUCGACUAAAAACGCGGCAAAUAGUGAGAUAAUAAUAUUCAACGUAUAAUGUUUUUCUUCUACAAUGAUUAUGAAAUCAAAAUCAUUUUGCUUUCUGGGAAAAGAUCAUUCUUUUGGUUUAAUUUUUAAGUCUAACGUUCUCGCAGCACAAGAAAAAAAUACGUUUGAGUGGUGUGUGACAUUCAAGAAGCCACUUCUCCUUUUACAAAAGAAUAUCAUUUGAAUUUUUCCAUUAAUUAGUUCUCCACCAAAAAUGGUUACUAUCUACCGCGCAGCACAACACACACAAUUGUAUAAAUUAUCACUGCGCGAAUGGGAAAUGGCGAUUAUCUAAAAUGGAUGCGUCUUUAGUCUAUAUAAACUGACGGACUUGCUUAACUUAUCUGAUAAAUUCAUUUGAGAUUUUGUUAGAUAAAAUGUGGGAGAUAUUUUCGUGUGGCAUCAUCGCUUUUUUUUCCACGUGGUUUGAAAUUUCCUAAUCAGUGAAUAAAAUAUUUAUGAUGGCUGCUUGUCGACACAACACGUGAAAUUGUUGUUUGCUUCUCUAAUGAGAAUUCUAAGCGAGAGUGCUUUUUGGAUUAUGAUUUGGAACUGCUCUAAGCUGAGAGAAUUUAUUGCGGCGACGAGAGAAAAUUGUGAGACAUUCUUAUCAAAUUAUGAUAAUAUGACAGAAAAAACUGCCAAUUUCUUUAUUUUUUUUUAUUCUUCAGAAUUUGAAAAAAAAAUCUACGCCAAAAAAGUAAAUAUGAAAAGUUUUAAAAACUAAAAUUGAAAAAUGAAGAAAAUGUCAGAACAAAGUCAAUUUUUGAAAAGAAACGUCAAAAAUUCAAAUUGUUAAAAAUGUCAACUGUUAGAAUGAAAGAACAGAUAUAACAUAUUUGAAAAUAAAUGUCAAAAGUCAGAUAGAAACUGUCAAACGUUAGAAAUGAAACGUCAAACAUUCAAACUGUUAAAAAUGUCAACUGUUAGAAUGAAAGAACAGAUUUAAAAAUAAGUGACAAAAGUCAGAUAGAAACCGUCAAACGUUAGAAACGAAACGUCAAACACUACAAAACAAAUGAAGUUAAACGUUUGAAUUGCUGAAAUUGUAAAAAUCGAUUGCAGCAGCUACUACGGUUGCUUAAUCUUUAUAUAAUUUUUGUAUCCUGUCCAAUAAAGCACUCCCAAUCGAAUAGAUUUCUGUGGAAUUAUUUUUCUCAAUUCAACUUAGGUCUCCGGUUUGAAGAGCACAGAUUUUUAACGAGUGAUAGGCGGACUAUUUUAUGUGUGGGGAUUUAAAGUGUGGAGGCAAAGGUUGUGAGCCACUGGCCUGAAUAUUGAAAUCACUUGUUGAGUGUCGAGGUGAAGCUCGAAUGAAAGAAGUUUUUGACUUAUAAAUCUCCACACCACGAGCCUGCAUAUUGGGAAUGGAUGAAGUCAUCGGAUUACUUGUGGGUUGAUCAUUACUUACAUUUAUAUUUUUCUCGCCAAACCAAGACGUAUCUCUUUCCCACCAGACACUUUUCCUCUCUAUGUUGGCUUCUCCAACACCAUCGUGUAUAGAUUGAAAAAUUUAUUUAUGUAUAAAAUUACUACAGCGCGUGGCGUGCGGGGGAGAUGUGAUUGUGGGAAAAAUGAGGGAGAAAAACGGUGCUAAAUAGGUAUAAGUUUUUUUCUAAUUCUUCAAGGACCCACACAUGACUCUCUAUUGUAGAAAAAAAAGUUGGUUUUUUGCGGGAAUCGUGCAAAAACAUCUCCAACAUCUCUGAUGUAUGAGUGGGGUGUUAAUUGAUAAGGUGCUCUUUUCCACGCAAAUAUUCUCCAAACUGCACGGAUUUUCUUAUCACAAACUGUGGGAGGUUUUUCUUGUUCGCCUCGUUUAUGGUCUCUCUCCUCCCUAUCUCUGCUAUCGGACAAUGUGUGAAAGAAAAUACCAAAGCACACUGGUACGUAAACUUGUGAUUAAACAUUGAUAUCUUCGCACAUGAUAUUUUUUUUACUUCUUUUCUGCUAACAAUGCGCGAUAAAAGGUCAGAAAAAUUACGUUUUUUUCUUUCUUAAAUAUUUUUCUGAUAAAUUGAGUGAAAAUCCCAAAAGAAAUACCUUCAACACUUUCUCAUUUCCCUCUUUGUCAUCUCCCAGCCAAAUUAGCCACUUUUUCUUUCCAUCUCUGCAUUCAGAGAUGCAGAAAAAAACGUGUUUUAGUUUUACAACAUUUAUUUUUUUCAUCUGUAAAAGAAGAAACAAAAAGAGUUUCUUCUUUCGCUUCAUUUGAAAGAAAUCGCAGCUAAAAAACACACCACAAGGCAGCGAAAUAAAUAUUUUUUAAAAAAAAGUUUAAUGCCCACGUUGGGAGGCACGAAAAAUUCGUGAUAGACAAAUGAGGAGGAUUUUGAUAGUAGGCGGUAGUUUUGGUCUCAAAAUGGUGAAUGUGCACAUAAACCUCUCACAGGUAAAGUAAACCUGAUGAUUAUUUUUUUUGGCAUCAAGCAUUGCCAUUGAUGGACAAACGAAUGAAUUUUAAAAGGAAAUUUUUUAACGUGAUUAUGAGGAGAUGAUUAGGCAUGGCAAAUUUCUUACAAAGAGAAUUAAGAUACUUACUAAUUAUAGUAGCAAAAAUGAAUGAAUGAAAUGAUGAUAAAAAUGUUCUUGUUAAAAAAGAAAAA